CUAAUACCGCAUAAGACCACAGCACCGCAUGGUGCAGGGGUAAAAACUCCGGUGGUACAGGAUGGACCCGCGUCUGAUUAGCUGGUUGGUGAGGUAACGGCUCACCAAGGCGACGAUCAGUAGCCGGCUUGAGAGAGUGAACGGCCACAUUGGGACUGAGACACGGCCCAAACUCCUACGGGAGGCAGCAGUGGGGAAUAUUGCACAAUGGGGGAAACCCUGAUGCAGCGACGCCGCGUGAGUGAAGAAGUAUCUCGGUAUGUAAAGCUCUAUCAGCAGGGAAGAAAAUGACGGUACCUGACUAAGAAGCCCCGGCUAACUACGUGCCAGCAGCCGCGGUAAUACGUAGGGGGCAGGCGUUAUCCGGAAUUACUGGGUGUAAAGGGUGCGUAGGUGGUAUGGCAAGUCAGAAGUGAAAACCCAGGGCUUAACUCUGGGACUGCUUUUGAAACUGUCAGACUGGAGUGCAGGAGAGGUAAGCGGAAUUCCUAGUGUAGCGGUGAAAUGCGUAGAUAUUAGGAGGAACAUCAGUGGCGAAGGCGGCUUACUGGACUGAAACUGACACUGAGGCACGAAAGCGUGGGGAGCAAACAGGAUUAGAUACCCUGGUAGUCCACGCCGUAAAC
RNAcentral lists this ribosomal RNA (626 nucleotides) under uncultured bacterium. RNAcentral describes it as "bacterial SSU rRNA". It matches the Rfam family "Bacterial small subunit ribosomal RNA", at positions 163 to 807 of the family's 1533-position model. The record is from RNAcentral.